GAUGAACGCUGGCGGCGUGCCUAAUACAUGCAAGUCGAGCGAACAGACGAGGAGCUUGCUCCUCUGACGUUAGCGGCGGACGGGUGAGUAACACGUGGAUAACCUACCUAUAAGACUGGGAUAACUUCGGGAAACCGGAGCUAAUACCGGAUAAUAUAUUGAACCGCAUGGUUCAAUAGUGAAAGACGGUUUUGCUGUCACUUAUAGAUGGAUCCGCGCCGCAUUAGAUAGUUGGUAAGGUAACGGCUUACCAAGGCAACGAUGCGUAGCCGACCUGAGAGGGUGAUCGGCCACACUGGAACUGGGACGCGGUCCAGACUCCUACGGGAGGCAGCAGUAGGGAAUCUUCCGCAAUGGGCGAAAGCCUGACGGAGCAACGCCGCGUGAGUGAUGAAGGUCUUCGGAUCGUAAAGCUCUGUUAUUGGGGAAGAACAAAUGUGUAAGUAACUAUGCACGUCUUGACGGUAACUAAUCAGAAAGCCACGGCUAACUACGUG
Molecule: ribosomal RNA, 497 nt
Filed under: uncultured bacterium
Lineage: Bacteria
Description: partial 16S ribosomal RNA
Rfam family: Bacterial small subunit ribosomal RNA
Source: RNAcentral